UUUUUUUAAAGGUCGUGAGGUAAGUACCCAAGUGACGAGACUUUGUUGCCCUUUAGGCAUUGUGUGAUCCACGGGCUUUCUACCGGUCAAGAGUUCGAGUAGAACGACUCCAAAACUGUAUACAUCGCUCUUUUGAGUUAUUUGUCCCGUCAUUGCGUACCUGGGAGUGAAAGGCAAAAAAUUAUUAGUAUCCUAAAUAGGUUAAAUUCAACAAUUUGUCCAGUUUCCAAAACCGUACUAGAACAUAUGGUAUGCUAAUCAAACUCGAUUCUCCUUUGUUGAAAAACCGAUUUCAGUUAACAGGUAACUAACCAAAUUCAGUUUCAGUUUAUUAAAUAGAGAUGUUUUCAUGAGUAAUUUACUCUGGAGCAUGGUAGCCGAAAGUUCCCAAAACACGAGUCGAAUGCAACCGGGCAGCGGUAUCGGACGAGGCACUAGAGAUGUUGAAAUCGGCAAUCUUGGAGGUGAACUCAUCGAAUAGAAGAACAUUGCUCGACCUUACAUCCCUAUGGACGAUAGGAGGCUGGCAUUUCUCGUGCAAAUACUCCAACCCUUUUGCUGCUCCAAAGGCUAUCUUCACUCUCUGGCUCCAGUUCAGAGCCGGUCCUGGCUCGGCCCCUUGCACCCCUUUCCUUCCUGCAAACAAUAAUUCAAAUUUCUCGAAGUUGGGAUUUUAAUUUAUCGUCAAUAACAACAAUGAAAUUGAUCGGAAUGAGAAAAUUAUAUAAAAUUAUACAUACCGUGUAACACAUCGUGUAAUGAACCCAUGGAUGCAUAUUGAUAAACCAAGAUUCGGUUGUUUGCCUCAAGGCAGUAACCCAUUAGCUCCACGAAGUGGUCGUUUUUCAAUCUAGAAACUACUGAUAGCUGCAUUCAUUAGCACAACAAGGUAUCGGUUAGUAUCGUAUUCAAACCGGAAAUUCGAACUACAAAAGGUUUACUCGUUAACAAAAUUGAGUUAAACAGUUUUUCUUAUAUCAAAUAGAAAUAUAUAAUAAAUAAGAGGAGUCCAAACUUGAGACACAUCAAUAUUAAUGAUCACUUUUGGCCAAAAAUUAACUUGUAUUACACUAAAGUUAUAGGCUCACCAUGCUAGACCGGCUAUAUGCCAGGUUGGGCAAUCUAGCCGGUUCGAUAUGGUUUUUAAAUGUUGUUCUUUUGUGAUGAGAAUUUUUGUUGUUAGUUUCUCUUCAUUGUUAAAUUGAACCCUAAGUUCCUUGGGUAGGAUUGAAAAGAAGAUUGUGAGUUACCUGGGCUGCAAAAUCGGUGUCGGGUUCUUGAGACGUGCUAGUAUCGAGCUUCUUGAUUGCGGCGGGGACGCCAUCACUCAAUGUGGCGUAGAAGACCCGGCCGUAGGAUCCUUCUCCGAUUAGGGCCUUUUGGCCGAAGUUGUCGGUCAAUUGAUUGAGCUCGUCGAGCGACAUAGCAGGGGUCUCAAUCGGCAACAUUUUUGUUGGUACUCCUCUUGGCGGAUUCGCUGCUCUGAGAUCAGGCGCUGCAUGUACACGUGUGUCACCAACAUCAUAAAAAAUUUCGUCGUAACAUUCGAACCUUGAAACCAACAUUACAACGAGAAAAAAAAGAGAAGAACGUUAUGAGGGUACCUCCAUAAGGACUGCCUUUGGGUUGGGCAGUGUAUUGACUCGCGGGUGGGUAAGGAUCCUCCUCCGCUCCUCCACAACACAACAUAUCCCUCUGAGUUCUUUUGAUUUAAAUACUAAAAACACGAACCCUCCUGCAAAUUUCAAAUGAAUGUGAAACUUGAUACUCAAGGAAAAGAAAUGGAAAAAAUUACUAGAUGAAAACUUUGAAAAGAGGCUUACCUUAGAGAAUUUAUCCUGAAUUCCCGGAUAAAAAAUUGAAAUCUUAAAUGAUUGUGAUUCAAAAACUGGAUUUUUAAUUAUUUGUAUGAUCGAUAUAUUUAUUAAAUCAGAAAACCAUGUAACAUAAACGCAACGAGAAGAAUGAACAUGAAAUGUAUUAAAUCUUCUUCAUGUUCUCUUCCAUUCUUCUCUCCUACGGAUUAUACUUUCUUUUUCGUGUGUCAAUGAUGAUUGAUUUUUUUCCCUGUUCUAAUCGUACUUUGUGGGUUUGGGUUGGGAGGGAAAGAAGGGAGCACUCAACCGGCUUUCGAUCGCGCAAUUUUUAUUUUAUUUUUCUUUUUGUGUUUUUUCUUAUUAUUCUUUUCUUAAAAAAAUUAUAACUUAUAAGAUGAACAACUUGAAGAAAAAUAAAAUCUAAAUCAUCUCCUAUUUCUACGUUCUCUUCAAUCAAACCUAACCCCCAUUCCCCUUUAUCUUUCAUUUAUAUUUUAUACACAAUAGAGAAUCCAUAACAUACACAGUGUUCUAAAAGAUAACAAACAAAUAAAUAUGGAUCGUUGAAUCUUAACAACACUGUUGAAAUAUGAACGUUAUGUUGAUUUUUAUGAUUCAUUAUACAUUUGUAUUGUAAAGAAUUAAAGGGAGUUUUUCUCAAAUCGAUAAAGAGUAAGACCGAACACAUUUCGCUCAAUUCACGGACAGACUAAUUUCGAGAUUAAUCUGGCCGCACAUUGACCCGACCGAACCGGGUGAUUACUGAUUAGCACACCAAUUUGAAAAAUAAUGAGGGGUUUACAUUUCCGCGCCCUGAAAGAAAACUCAAAAAUACAGAAAGAGAAAAGCUACAGAGCUUUUUUUUUUGUCUCUCACUCUCACUUCACACACUGACAACGAAGAACUCUCCCUCCCCAAUUCUCCAGAACCCUCGCCAUUUUUUUGCAGCGAGGAUAACAAGGAGGUGGAGUAAGGAACGGCAAAGAAAUGGAAGACGAAGAUCAGCAGAAGACGAUAGAUCUAGUUAAGGAGCUAGUUCACCGUCUCCUCUCUCCCAAUCCAACCGCCGCCACCGCCGCAAACCCUAAUUCGCCCGAUCUCACCAAUUCUCUCCGUUACGCCGUCCGAAUUCUCUCCAGCAGGCUCACUCCGUCGAUCGCUCCCGAUGCGGCGGCAAUCGCCGAGUCCAUCAAGCGCCGUCUCGCCACUCAAGGUAAGUCCUCCGAGGCGCUGACGUUCGCCGAUCUGAACAACAAGUUCGCCUCCAAAGUAGGGCCCGGUAGUAUCAACAACAAGUGGGCGGUUCUUUACUUGUUGAAGAUUAUAUCCGAGGACAGGAAGCUGUCGCAUUCCUCGCAGAGUUCGGCGCUUCUGCUGCCAAAUUUGAGUCUGGACGACCGUGAAUCAUUCACGGAAGGGGAAGGGCGUGGUGGCUCGAGGAGAGGGGAGAGUGGGGUUCUUCUGGUGGCGAAGGACCCGGAGAAUUUGCGGGAGAUUGCGUUUAGGGAGUAUGUGAAUUUGGUUAGGGAGGAGAAUGAGGUGUCUGAGGAGGUUUUAGUGAGGGAUGUGUUGUAUGCUUGCCAAGGGAUUGACGGGAAGUACGUGAUAUUCGAUUCGAGUGAAGAUGGUUAUAUGUUGCCAGAGACGUUUAAGGUUCCCAGGGCGAGUAGGGUUAUGGUGAGGAAGCUUUGUGAAUUGGGGUGGUUGUUUAGGAAGGUUAGAGGGUACAUUUCUGAGAGUAUGGAUAGCUUCGCUACCGAAGAAGUGGGAACUGUAGGUCAGGCAUUUUGCGCUGCUUUGCAAGAUGAGCUUUCUGAGUACUAUAGGUUAUUAGCUGUGCUCGAGACACAGGCUACGAACCCGAUUCCAUUGGUUUCCGGGUCAGCUACUUCGGGGAACUAUCUAUCAUUGAGGAGGUUAUCAGUUUGGUUUGUGGAGCCGAUGGUGAAAAUGAGGGUAAUGGCUGUUUUGAUCGAUACUUGCAAAGUCUUGAAGGGUGGUGCCAUGGCUGGAGCUAUACAUUUGCACGCUCAGCAUGGCGAUCCUCUUGUGAAUGAGUUCAUGAGGAGUUUGCUCCGACGAGUAUGCUCUCCGCUUUUCGAAAUGGUCAGACGAUGGGUUUUGGAAGGAGAACUGGAAGAUAUAUUUUCCGAGUUCUUUGUUGUGAGCGAGACGAAGGAAUUGGAGUCUGAUGUGAGCCAAAAGGGGAAAGAAUCUCUUUGGAGGGAAGGCUACAGACUUCACUCCAAGAUGCUUCCUUCUUUUAUUUCUCAGUCCCUUGCUCAACGCAUUUUGAGGACCGGGAAAUCGAUUAACUUUCUACGUGUCUGCUGUGAUGACCGUGGAUGGGCUGAUGCUGCCACAGAGGCUGGAGACGCAGCAGGGACAAGUACUAGAAGGGGAAGUCUUGGAUAUGGCGAAACCGAUGCGCUUGAAAAUCUUGUUGCUGAAGCAGCAAAGAGAAUUGAUAAGCAUCUACUGAACGUUAUGUAUUCAAGGUAUAAGUUCAAAGAGCAUUGUCUUGCAAUCAAGCGUUAUUUAUUGCUUGGCCAGGGUGACUUCGUUCAGUACCUAAUGGAUAGUAUAGGGGAAGAGCUUUCUGAACCUGCUAAUACCAUCAGCACGUUCAAGUUAGCUGGCUUUUUGGAAAGUGCAAUCCGAUCGUCCAAUGCUCAAUACGAUGACAGAGACAUACUUGAUAGGGUGAGGGUUAACAUGAUGGUACAAAGCACUGGUGAUAGAGGAUGGGAUGUGUUCUCAUUGGAAUAUGAUGCUAGUGUGCCGUUGAAUACAGUGUUCACAGAAUCUGUCAUGGCUGAAUAUCGCAGAAUCUUUAACUUCCUAUGGAAGCUGAGGCGAGUGGAGCAUGCACUUAUCGGCGCUUGGAAAACAAUGAAACCGAAUUGCAUCACUUCUCAUUCUUUUGUUAAGCUGCAGGGUGGGGUUAAAUCACAGUUGCUUAUAACUAUGAGGCUAUGCCAGGUAGAGGCGAUGCCAGGUUCUCUGGAAUGAGAUGAACCAUUUCGUCUCAAACUUACAGUAUUACAUUAUGUUCGAAGUAUUGGAGGUAUCCUGGUCAAAAUUUUCAGACGAGAUGGAAGCUGCAAAGGACCUCGAUGAUCUUCUUGCGGCACAUGAAAAGUAUCUUCACUCAAUUGUCGAGAAGUCUCUCCUUGGCGAACGGUCUCGGCCUCUUUGCAAGUCGCUUUUCGUUCUGUUCGACCUUAUACUACGUUAUAGAGGUCAUGUCGAUCGGUUAUACGAAGGCAUCUACGAGUUGCAAGCAAGGUAUUUUUCUCUGCUACUGUCAAAUAUAUUAUCUUUUUCAGCUGUUUUAAUUUGGACCCAUGUUGAAGCUUCCAGUUCCUUUUGUUUCCUCCAGAAAUGCAGGGUCCUUACCGUCUAAAGACAAGACCAAAUCAUCAAAGCAGACUGCAAAAAGACCUUCCAAGCCCGGAUCAUGGAUUAGCGACGGAAGGAAAGCUCUCACACAACGGGCCGGGGAAUUUCUUCAAACUAUGGGGAAAGAAUUAAACGCUACUGCAAAGGAAUAUACCUCUCUGCUGGAAGUUUUCUUAUCUGAGUUGCCUGUCCAGCAACACAUUGAUCUCAAGUUCCUUCUAUUCCGGCUCGACUUCACCGAGUUUUAUAGCCGACUCCAUCCCACCAAAUGAUGUAAGCUGUUAGCACUUUAGGAGCCUUCCCAAAUGUAAUUACCCGUAAAGGAGAUGGCCACUGCUGAGUACGCAGUUUCUCGCUGACAGCAAGCGGCCCUUUUUCAAUAGGUACUGAACAUUUUCUCCACUCCCUAAUCUACAGCAUUCUAGUUUUCUCGUAAUCGAUCUGACAACGUUGUUCAUUUUUAUCAAUUGCAGAUGGCAUGUUCUACUUUCGCUACGAUUGCUUGAAAAUUUGGAGAUCGUGGCGGAAGUAACUCUGGAUUAUCCUUGAUUGUUGUUAGUAAGUAGUUGGUAACCUAUCAAGUGUGUGAUGGUUUCGUUGGGGUUGAUUUUUCUUCCGAUUUCGGCAAGCACAAGGUUGUCUUUCCACAUUUUUUGUUAACCAGCUCCUCUGAUUCAACACUUAACGAUUGUGUUGAGAUAGUUAGGAAUCUGUAAGAUUUGCUUGGAAGGUUUGUACUGGGAAUGCAGAGCAGUGUUUUUGUGUACUUUGGCUUCAAUGAAGUGUUUGGCAAUGAAUUCUUCUGUGAUUACUUUGAUUUAACAAAGAAUGUAUGAUGAUCAAAUCUCCAGGACUGAGUAAUUCAGAAAACCUGCUAAAACCUUACUCAAAUUUCGAAUUUCGGAAACAGUUUCUACAGCUAUCCCGAAGGCAAACAUAAAGUCAUCCUGCUAAGGUAUAUUUCUUCCCAGUAAAUGGCUGAAACUGCUUUACUUCCUCUCUAACCACCGCAGCUUUCUCCUCCACCACCAUUGCAGACUCUACGGCAGCUGUACCAUUCAAGCGCCUCCCCACACCGGAGAACGGGACGAAUACUCCAGCCUCUUGAACCCGUCCCUGCUCUUUUUCUUCAACCUUCUUCGGCUCCACGUAAUCCAGAGGAGUAGCAAAGUCCACUUUGAAAUCCGUGUCGAGAAUACAGACCGCGGGGGCUGGCUUCGUUUCGACAACAUCGACGUAAAAUUUCCUGCUUUGAUACUCGAGCAGGAGCGUGUCCCCCGAAGUCAAGCAGAAGAAGUUGGCGCUCAGGAUCUGUUCGAGAGCAGUCUUCAUAUCUCGAAUCGCCCAGAAUUCAACCGAGUGUGGCUGCAGCUUGGUGUAGGUGCACUUUUCGAGGGCCUCGACGUUCUUGAUCAGCUUCACUCUCUUGCCAGCCUCCACGUUCAGAUUCUUCAUCAUCCAUUUGGGCACCAUCACCGUUCCUUCCUCCGCGGUGAACUCCGCAACCCCGCAGUGAGACGCCUUCGAGUCCGAUUCUGAUUCAUUCCGAAUCCCGAACAGCAUCGGGUAACUAACAUCCUUGUCCAUGAGCUCCACCAAUGCGGAUUCCGGCAUUACAAUCUGCCCGCCUUGUUCGAGGUGCUCCUUCCCGGACAGUGGACGGCAGGUGUAGCACCGCUCGAAGAUUAUUCUGGCGGUUUCGCACAGUUCAUCCGAGUCGGAAUCAUUGUCCUCCCCGGAGUCCUCUGUUUCGCAAUCACCAUCCUCCUCGGAGUCUUCUGUUUCGGUCUCUCCCUCCUUAGCCGCCGCCUCCUUUUCAGGAAUAGCUUCAGGAUUAGCUGCCUCCUCUGGAUCUGGUUCCGACAUCAUUUCGUCCGGCUGGGGAAGGGGUGAUUCGGGGGAACUCGGAUCGGCGGUGGGGAUCUCGGUAUUGUCAGUGUAAUCCAAGCAGUCCAUGGUGGCGGCUGCUGGUGAAGAUUUGGAGACCUGUGGAGAGGAAAAUAGAGUGCUAGUAGUAGUAGGAGACGCAAUCGUUAUAACAACAAGCGAAACUUGAGGGCCACGAAACCUUUUCAGUUUUGAGAAUAUUUGACGGUGGAAAACAACUAUAUAUAAGGAAACCCUCCGUGGUGGCAAUACUUGUCUACCAAGUUUUAACGGUAAGUUGACGGAAGAAUUUGUCAGAUAACGGCUCCGUUGGUUAACUUGAACAUUUGUUAGUGUAUAAACAGUAUAAUUCUCGAUGAGUCGAGAAAAAUGAUUACCAAAGCAACGGGGAAAGAGCCGUCACCAUUGGAGUAGCGGCAUAAACUGUAAAAAAAAAACUGUUUGAUGAUCUAAAAUGGCAGGAUUUAGGCACUAACCCACGGCGUCUUAUGCUGACAUCCAAACCGUGCUAGUGCCUCUGUCGGGAGUCGACAGUUGGACAACAUAUAGCUAGUAUAAUUCUCCAUGAGUUCGGGAAAGCGAUUGCCAAACGACGGGGAAGGAAAAGUCUCCGUCGUAGUAGCGACAAGUAAAAAAUGAAGAAUCUGAUUGGUGAGUAAACUACUACCCAAACCCUGUCAGUGCAUCUGUCAAACUGGGGUCUAUUACUUGGAAGGCAAUUAUCCUAAUCGUUGGACUACAAAUGCCAUAUGUAUGGAUAGAAAUUAUAGAUGAAUAACUUCACUCAAACAAGACAGAGAGAUUUAGUCAUCAUGCACUGUGUAAUAAAAUGCAUUUUUCGUACUAAAUGCACUGUGUAACGAGACUGAGAGAUUUAGACUCUAAUAAUUCAGCAAUAGUUUGCCUCGAAUACAAUAAUAUGUAACUAUUUUAACUCUUUAGGUUCGAGCACUCGUCAAUGUUUUUCAUCGUACAAGCUACAAAUUCAACUGAAAUAAAACUUAUUGGUGGCUUUUUGAUGAGCGAAGUUCGAUUUCAGCUCGUCAAGGUUAGUUAACGAGCUAGACUCGACUGAGUAUAUGGCUCGUUAGUAGACUCAUUACAAAGUUGGUUUGUUUCGAAUAAUCAUACAUAAUUAAUAAAUCAUCAUAUAUGUAAUUUGUUGUUGUGCUAAAUGAAAAUGAAAGUAGUACAGUUUUAACCAUUUUAAUUGAUAAAAAAAUUAACAUUUAAUUAAAAUUUCAAAUUAAGCUAAAAUUGGACUCAUGAUUGGUGACUUAUUGAUGAGAGAAUUUCGAGUUCAUCUCGAAAAAAACAAAAUACCGUUUCAUUUAAAACACAAACCCAAAACACUAAAAUCAAGUUACAUUAUUUCAAUAUACAUAUCCCCAAUCAGCAAAUCAUUGAACGCAUAUCCCCAAUCAGCCUCCAAAUUCGAACCAGACUGCUGAACACCCUCCUGCUUCAAGGCGUCCACUUCCUUGCCAGCGUUCAAAUUGUACCGAAAGUCCAGGUUGGAACUAGUACCUGAAGGAUCAGUCCCCCCACAAGAAUUGGAUGCCUCUGACAUUUUCUUCUUCUAUUCGGCUCGAAAAGAAACAAGCUAGACUGUAAGCUGCUGGUUUGAUUUUGAUCUCCAUUUUAUACUGUUUCAGUCUCCUUCACCUGUGUAUGAAACCGAGGAAGGGAGAAACAUGGUCAGGAGAAAAACUUAUAAACUUUGACGUCUUUGUGGAAAUAGGUGGUCUGGUGAGAAUCUUGGCAAUAGAGUAGGAUCGUUGGUUUUUCCAAAUCUUGUUUUGGACUGGUCGAAGGGAAGCUGACAAAAACGAACUCCAUCGACAUCAACAGUUCAACACCUACUAUUAUCCAAGAGCAAACAAUUGCAAUGUCGUUUCCCCUCCAGCUAGAACGAGCUUCCGCGUCAUCUGCUGCUCUCAGGGGCAUUUUUUCGAACAGUUUAGCGGCAAGAAUGUAAGACUUCCAUUCCCGCGGUACUCGUUCCUCAAUCAUUUCCUCCGACUCCAGGAGAUUCAAUGAUUGGAAAACGAACAGGAAGGAGAUAGAAGUCGCCGUCGGAGCAGGGUCAAGUAAACUACGCAAAAAAAAAAAAAAAACUGAUCACGCAAAAUGGCAGCAUUCAAGCAUUAGCCGACGGCGCAUUAAACUAAUACCUGACGUACUGCUAGUGCGUCUGCCGGGAGUCGAACCCGGGUCUAUUGCUUGGAAGGCAAUUAUCCUAACCGUUGGACUACAGACGCUUUUGAUAGUUUUGCUAUUAUAAUAUCAAUAUAUUCUUAAUACAAACGCCAAAUACAGAAUUCCAACAUGAGUUGCCCCAAAUAAAAAUCCAACAAGACUAUCAAUUUCAUCAACAUCAAAAUAAUGCUACAUCAAAACGAUUAAACACCACAUUUUACCUCGUAAAUCACAAAACAAACAACUUUAUUAUCUUAAAGAUAUGUAAUUGAAAUAAAUUAUAUACAAAAAAUUGUUACGUGUCCAAAUGAAUAUUACAUCAUUAAAUAUGAAAUUAACAUACUAAUUUAAAACCUUUUAAACACUCUUUUUUUAUAAAUUAACUUUUGAAAAUGAAUUCUAUCAAAUAAAUUAUAACAAAAAUCUUUAUAUUUCAACGCAUAACUCAUACUUAAAUUUUCCAAAACCAUACAACAAAUUGAACGUCACGUAAAACAUCGCCUCCAUGAUAAACCAACCCGGCCUUGCUUUGCCCUAGCAUUGGAGUUUGGUGUCACCACACUAUUUACCCAAAAUGUCAAAUUUUCUCACGUCCCUUUUCUACCUCGCUGUAACUGUUUUUCCUCGUUUUUCUUCACCGCGCCCCAAACAAACAAAAACCAGCCUCCAUUCCUACAUUCUUCACCAAAAGUGAAGCAACCAAAUCUCAUCGUCCCCCCAAAACCCCGUCUCCGUCCUCGUAAUUCUCUCGAUCUCUCGCCGCCGAUCUAAACACCAGCUGGCGCAACCGUCGGCACCGACCUUCCGAUCCCCGCGGAUUAUCACUCUGAGUUAAUUCGCCAAAUUGAAUCGCCGACGCUACUCGGCUUCUAGUUUUGCGUUACAAUUCGGUUGAAUCGCUUAGGUUUUCAAGAUUCGAUUUAAGAGAGUUUUUGUGACAGAUGGAUUGUACAUUGAUUUGAAAAGGUCAGGCAUAAGAACGAAGAAAGGAUGCCGGGACUGCCGCAGAAGUACGAGCAAUUCAGUACUAGUAACGUAUCGUACUCCGUCUCCAGCAAUGGAUUCUGGUCCAAGCACAGCGAUGAUCUCGGUUACAAUCAGCUCCAGAAGGUCGUAGACUAUGUCGUUUGUCUGUGUUUGAACGUUUCAUUCGUUUAGCUCAUUGGGAAUAGAAACUGUGUUUGGAUUGGAUUGGAUAGAAUUGAAUCAGUGGUGUGCUGUUUAUUGGUUUCCUUUUUGUAUCUUAAUGCUAGGAUUGGAUCCGGCUAUGGCAAAUUGUUCACCUGUUGGAUGUGUAUUUUGUUGUUUUGAAGUGUUGUUCCAGCUGCAUUUCUUGUGGCAUUUGAAUUGUUGAUCAUCCUAUGUAUUUGGAUAAAUACUUUGGAUUCCACCCAGGAACUACAGCUCUUUAGCAUUUUGAAGCCUGUUUUUCUCUUUGAAUGAAGAUUUCGUUUAGAACUGGUGGUUUGAAGCAAAAUGAACAAGUUUGCAGUCAUUUUUGUGACAUACUUACAGCUAUAAUGAAAUGUAUCUGAGUGGCUUUUUCUUUUUUUGGCUUUCCUGUCUUGUUGGGGUGUGUGUCUUUAAUAAGUGUGCGAGUGUUUUGACAAGUGACUAAAAUGUUCAAAACUCAUCAAAUGGAUGGUGUAACAAAUAUGAUCAUGGGCUGUCGAGAUGAAAUUCAAGAUCCAGCUGUACAUCAUUGGGGUGGUUUAACAACUACGCGGGGUGGAUCCUUGACACUUUUGGAUUGCUACGUGUGUUCAAAAUCUCAUGAAGGACUUCAAAACGUGAGUUUUUAUUUGGGCUUCUUGUUUUGUUUACAAGGUAGUCAUUUUCUUGAGUAUCUUAUGCUUUUCCUCGUAUCAGGUCUUUAAUAGUGCGCGUGCACGGGAGAGGGAAAGGGAACUGCUCUAUCCAGAUGCUUGUGGUGGCGGAGGCCGGGGCUGGAUAAGCCAAGGAAUGCCAACUUACAGUAGAGGCCAUGGAACAAGAGAAACAUGUGCAUUACACACAGCCAGGCUUUCGUGCGACACAUUAGUGGAUUUCUGGUCAGCUUUGGCAGAAGAGAACAGGCAGUCUCUUCUUAGGAUGAAAGAAGAAGAUUUCAUUGAACGGCUUAUGUAUAGGUGUGCAUUUCUAAUUUAUGGAUCUUAUGACCAUAGUAGAAAAGUGAAACAGCUAUGGAAUCUUGUUGAUAUAGUCCUUUUCUGGGUAAGUUCUAGGGCUACUGAGUACUGACUUUAGAGGAGAGGCGAAAGCAGCAGGAAAUUAAUAUUAUAAAGUCUUAGAAAGAAACUGCUCUUAUAUCUUUGAUCAGUUAGUAUAUCUUGUAGGUCUAAAUUCUUAGAAAGAAACCUUUUCAUCUCCUUAUUAACGCAGACAAUUCUAUCUCAUCAAGCUCUUGCAUUGAAAUGUCUAUCCAUCUUAGUGGACUAGAAUCUAGGAUUCUGAAUUACUGAUAGGAAACCGGGUAACUGCCCGUUUUAUAAUGUGUCCUAAGGGGCAAGGUAAACGAAAGGACACAACGGUUCUGACAUCUGAGCUAACCUCACCGCCUUUAAGACUGACACAGUGGUGUUUUAAGCUUUGCUACUGUCACUAAGUUUGUUUAUGGGACUAUUGGAGUUAUUCUUAAGUAUCUCUUUUUAUUCUUUGCUUAUCUUACUCAUUGGUCUGGUUCUGGGUUGUCUUAAUUUAACUGCUUACACACCAAUGCUACAGGUUUGACAGCAAGAGAUUCUGCAGAGAUUGUAGGAGGAAUGUUAUCAGAGAAUUCAAGGAGCUUAAAGAAUUGAAGCGUAUGCGAAGAGAACAACGUUGCACUAGUUGGUUUUGUGGUGCAGAUACUGCUUUCCAGUAUGAGGUAUUCAUAUUAAUUUUUUAUGAUGUUUGUUGAGUUGCAGUAUAUUGUGGAACACUUCACAAAGAUUGAUUAUGUAGGUUUCUAAUAUAAGAUUGUCGCCUUACUAUUUGUUCAGGUGUCAGAUGACAUGAUACAAGCUGAUUGGCACCAAACCUUUGCCGAUUCUGUUGGGACUUACCAUCACUUUGAAUGGGCUGUUGGAACAGGAGAAGGGAAGUCUGACAUUUUAGAAUUUGAAAAUGUAGGGAUGAAUGAUAGUGUGCAAGCUGAUGGGUUGGAUCUGAGUGAUUUGACGGCAUGCUUCAUCACGUUGCGGGCUUGGAAAAUGGAUGGCCGCUGCACUGAGUUUACUGUAAAAGCCCAUGCAUUAAAGGGUCAACAAUGCGUUCAUUGCAGGUUAAUAGUUGGUGAUGGUUUUAUUACAAUUACUAGAGGUGAAAGCAUCAGAAAUUUUUUUGAACAUGCUGAAGAGUGUGAGGAAGAAGAGGUACUUACGCUUUACUUUCUGGAUAUCACAUUUUUUUCGAAGAUAGUUCAAGUGUUGUGUUAAAUGCUCUUCUUCCCAUUGGUAUUAAGUUUGUCAUUGCUUGAAUUUUGGGUUCUUCCAGGAUGAUGACUCCAUGGAGAAGGAUGGCAAUGAGCUUGAUGGAGAAUGCUCCCGUCCCCAAAAGCAUGCGAAGAGUCCUGAACUUGCGCGAGAAUUUCUUCUAGAUGCUGCUACUGUUAUUUUCAAGGAACAGGCACGUGAACUUACAUGCAAUGUCAUUUUUUCCCGACUCUGAUUUCAGAAGUUAACAAUGAUAAUCCGCUAAGAUCUCGCUCCCAAGUGUUGCAUGAGAAUGAUUCUGAAUUUAGAUACUCUGCAGCUCUAAUAAAAAUGACGAUAUUUCAGGUCGAAAAGGCUUUCAGAGAAGGAACUGCACAACAAAAUGCCCAUAGCAUUUUUAUCUGCCUUGCACUAAACCUGUUAGAAGAACGGAUCCAUGUUGCAUGCAAAGAAAUUAUUACUCUGGAAAAGCAGGUACAAAAUGAAGGGCUGGGAGAUUUGUUGAAUAUGGAUCUAUCUUUACUAUGGAUAUUAUAUGGAUCUAUCUUUACUUUCUUUUUAAAUGAUAUUAUAUGGAUCUAUCCUUACUAUCAUUGCUGUUUUUCUAGACGAAAUUGCUUGAAGAAGAAGAGAAGGAGAAGCGCGAAGAAGAAGAGCGCAAGGAGAGAAGAAGACUAAAAGAAAGAGAAAAGAAGAAUCGCAGAAAAGAGAGGUUAAAAGGGAAAGAAAGGGAUAAAGAUAAAGGUUCCGAACCGAAUGACGUCUCUCUUCUUGAUGCAGUUAAGGACGAGUCUUCACUAGCAUCCAGUGAAGAUCCUAAUAACAGCGUCCGUAGCGGGGAUUCUGUAAGUGAAACAUGUGAUAAUUCUGUGUCCAGUCCAGGAUCACCGAACACAGAAGAACAAUUUUCCAAUGGGUGCACCACGUUCAUCAAGCAAGAUGAUUCGUAUGAUUGUCCGGAAGAGGAUGUUAUAAACGGGAAAGAUGGAAGUGGCUCUUUCAUAGUCGAGCAAUCAAAAUCUUCACGCCGGAGAUUGAAGUUUUGGAAAGAGGUCCAGCUGGAUUCGUCUGAUAGACGUGGACCAGCUAGUAGAUCUGACUCAAGGAAUCAUGGUGAAAAUUUCGAGAUUCCUUCAAGGAGCGUCAAUGGAUCGAGUAGACCAGCAAGGACGAUGGCACCGAAGUUUAACAGUCGAAACUAUGGCCCGAGGUUCAGUGAGAAGUUAAAUGGUUCCAACAGCCAGGUUAGUGAAAGAUUUGACUUCCAUUCUUGUAGUUGCAAUCAAGCUAAUGGAUACACAGCAAAAGUUGGGAGGGGCAGUAACUGUGCCUGUAAGUCUGGACAUGCAGCAGAUAUUCUGAAGCAAUUUCAUCGUGAUAACAAGUACAGUCAAGCUGAUUACACUCAUGAAGGUUGCGGAAGACCCAGAAACAAGGGUUCGACCGUGAAUCCUUCUGUACCCCAUGCCAAGAAAGUAUGGGAGCCCAUGGAUUCUCAGAAGAGGUAUCCUAGGACUAAUUCAGAGAGUGAUUUCUCUAAGCCAUCUAGUGGGAACUGUUGGAGCAAAGUCAACGGAAAUUCUGGGGAAACUAGUCAGAUCGACUGUAAAAUGAGUGAAGCUAUAGAAGAUUGCAGUGCUGAUGCAGCAAAGGAUGGAGAAGUCAAUUCGAGUCCUCCGAAUGGCUCACAAUCUAACGGGGCUUCCAAUCCUAGCUCCGUUAUCACGUUGAAUUCUGACAACAGUUCGUCGUGUCUGAGCGAAGGAGAUAGCAACGCCGCCUCUUCAAAUCAUGGACAUCUGGGAUCCUCUUCCGCAUCAGACUCCGAGGACUCCAGUCAGCAAUCAGAAGGCAGAGAAACUGGUUUUCCUGAGAGUCACGAAGCUAGAACGCCGAAAAACCCUGGUUCGGCAAAUGUGCAGCCUUCGAAUGGUCUGAAGUUCCAUGGAAUCCAGUCUGAUGGUCCAAGAGUAAGCAGCUGUACAGGAGACGGUCUCGCAAAAGCCACCGCCGAUGACACUGUCAGCAAUGUUACUACCACCGGCGCUCAACAUCAAGGCGUGUUCGCACCAUUGGCGAACCAGAGCUUACAGUACUCAGUGUUUCAAGCUCCUCCAUCAGUGAGUUACUAUCAUCAAAAUCUAGUCUCUUGGUCAGCCGCACCGGCAAUCCCCUUUCACCACCCGAACCAUCACCACCUCUACGCUAGCCCGAUGAGGUACGGUCUCGAUGGAAACUCGCACUUGUGUAUGCAGUAUGGUGGUCCGAUGCAGCCUGUCACGACGACAACUCCUCCCGUGUUCAACCCGAGUCCACCGCAAGUCCUGGUCGCGGAGGCACAACUGGAGAAAAAUACCGGAAAUGGUAGGAAGAUAGAUAGCUUUGCCAAACUGAACAUGGUGAAUAAUGAUUUCUCCUUGUUCCAGUUCGGGUGGCCUUUGAAAGACGGAGUAGAUGUUUCGGCAGGAGAUCGAAUCGAGAGCAAUUCGGAGGAGAAUGUAAUGGAAGAGUACAACUUGUUUGCAGCAAGUAACAACAGUAUGAAGUUUUCCUUCUUUUAAUUAUAGUGUUUGUGGGUUUGGGUUUGGGGGAAGGAAGAUUUGUGGAGGCUGGUUUUUUGCUAUUUCAGUCCCUAGUCUUCUUUACAAUUACAGUAUGGUUUUUUAAAGUAUUUUGUAUUGCCAAAGAGUACACAAAUAAUUUGAGCAAAAGAUUACCAUUCUUAGAAGAGUUUACAGUUUGGUCAGUGUGUUUUUUCAAAUUUACACCUUUUAGUUUUUUCAUGGUAUUUUGAGAUGGAAGGAUACCAAACGAUUGGUAACAGCAGAUGAAUUUUACAAGGUUGGAUGUGUGAGAUUUAAGCUUCUGAUAUUCCCUUCUGGAUUUGCCAUGGAUCUCGUUUUCCUAACAAGGUGCGAUAUUAUCAGUAUGAUAUUGUUGAUCGCUUAUUUCGCCUCUUAAUCAUGAAUAAAGUGGUUAUUGUAGUACCCGCCUAUUGCUUUGCCCUUCGUGCUGGCACCUUAAAGAUAGUAUGGUGUUAUAACAGUUAAUUACAUAACCGUUGCUGUUUUUGAAUCAUUAUUCGAAUUAUUAACUCUUAUUGGUAUAAUUUUCGAGCCUGCUAGCUAUGUGGCAAUGUGGUUAUUGACUAACGGUAACCUUUAGACUUCUGUGAUAAAGGAAAGAGUAUAUAUUGGCGGAUUCAAUUUCAAAAAUAAUAUUAAGAACACAGAAAUGGCCACUGCAAAAAUUGCAGGCCCUAUGCAGUGGAAACAGAAAAUCGAAGAACGGCAAACUAAAACCCUGGUUCAUCCACGAAUUCCGCGACCCUGACCAAACUGUCUCUUCUAAGAGUUGUAAUCUUUUCUCAAAUUAUUUGUGUACAAUUAAUUUGAUAUUUCUUCUUUUGUGAAACUCUAGAAUUCCUGACUAUAAAAAGAGUCUUGUUACGAAUUUUAAAAGUUUUCAGGGAUGUUUGGUAUAGAUACGGUUAUAUUGAAUUAUAGCCAUUCAAAAUAGUUCCGUGUUUUCGAGCUCAUAGUCCGAUUAAGUUACAAAAGUUUAAUCUUAAUUUGCUCGUUAAAAAUCUUAAAUAAAAAUUGUAUUUGAUGGGUAUGUCCGGUUCAAACUGACUCAAUCUACUGAAUUGAUCAAGAGAUAAUGAUUGUAGCUCGAUUAACUUAUAAAAAUGUGAGAAGGAUCAUAUUAACCAGAAGAGUCUCUCACACUGAAUUCCGCUUGCUUUCUGACUCCAAUGCUGAAGCUGAAGGACCAGUCUGGUCACUCUGUAAUGAAGGGAGAUUUCGUGUCAAACUUGCCCCGUUCAGGGAUCGGUCCUCCUUUCGAAGUUGAUCUCUCCAAAGCAACUGGCCUGAUUGGAGGUAACUAGUUGUCAAGUUCUGCCCUCUAUGUGUUUGUUAAAAUGCCCAAGAGACCCUGAAUCGCCCUACUGUUUGGUUUUGGUUGGAAACGUACAGGUGAGAAGGAAUACUACGAGAGACAAUUCGCUAUACUGAAGUCUUUCGAGGAUGUUGAUUCGCUCGAGGAACCAAAGGCCGAAGAGCAGGAUAUGCAUGAGCUCGCUCGUGCAUAUUUCCAACUGGGCAAAUAUCUUUCUCCUCUCCCUGAGCAUCAAUGGGGGUGUUGAAGUUUUGUGAUCCAAUUCCCACGGUCCUAUGUAACUCUCCACAUAGAAUCAUUUACGGGUCAGGUGACUGAAAACAGACAACCAAAUCACUUAUACAUUAGACUUCUGUGGCAAAGGAGAGUAUACAUAAAUGGACUCAUUUUCAAAACCAAAUAUUAAGAACACAGAAAUGGCCACUGCAAAAGAUUGCAGGCUCCUAUGCAGUUGAACCACAAAAUCGAAGAACAGCAAGAUAAAACCCUGGUUCAUCCACGAAUUCCGUGACCUCGAACGAACGGGAUGAUGCAACCUCUUGCAAAGAGAUCUCAUCAGGCAGCUGUGAAACUAUGAGUUCAGGAUACUCCUGUCUUUGCUGUUCCAGCUUUUCUCUUCCUUGCGGAUGGCUAAUCACCACUCUUGCACCUGCCCCGAAAUAAAUCCGAAACAUCAGGCAUGAGAUAGAGCAUUACAGUUUCCGAGCUUCACAUGAUGGCAUUAUGUUUCGGAAUAAAUCACGAAUUGCACAUUGGAGAACAAACAGCACCACGAGAAUGUGGCACUACGACACCUCAUAUAACUCAUGCAGACUGUGAUUCGAAGUUCAAACCAUUGGAUGAAAAUCACUCAUCAAGUGAGUACUGAGAAACAACAGUUGUUUUUGUAAAAAUCACGACACCAGAAUGUGCAUUGAAGAACAAAGUAUCUCAUAUAACUGACAACAGAGAGGUUUCCAGCGAUGGCACAAGACAAGUUUCGAACUUUGGGACGAACGAUAGACAGUUAUUUCAGAUGAAUCAUGAAUCACAUUAAUCAAAAGAACGCACAGCACAUGAAUAUACCAGAUUAUUGUCGAAAAACAAGGUUUGAACCUAUCACUCAUCCGAACGAACCAGCGAGAAAAACAUAAGUAGAACUCCGGUUUACCUGGUGAGCAGUGUCUGACAAGCUUCUCAAGAACUUGGUCAAGCUUGGAGGGCAAGGCAGGCAGAAAAUACAGGAAGACAACAUCAAGCGAUGUCCAUUUCUCAGGAAGAUCAAUCAGUUCACCUUGCCAACACUUCAAAUUCUCAUCAUACUUCUCUUUGAGAAGAGCCAACGUCAAGAGCGAUUCAUGCACAACAAGCAAGAAACUGUACAAUGAUGAUUCAUCCACCAGUUGAUCCACAAACUCUUCGGAGCUCGUCGAAACCAAAACCUUCGAGGCCUCAGUGAUCCCUCCUGCAGAAAUUAUCCGGCUGUUGUUCUGUCUUACAUCUUUCGAAUCUGAUGGCUCCUCGGGGUCGAGAAAGGACCAGUCUUUCUCAACAAAGUCUUCAAAGCUCAUAACAGGUAUAGAUCCUUCUUCGGAAGGAACUGCUGCAUCGAUUGAAGAAGUGCGGAGAGUGAACGAGUUGGUGAUCAGAGUUGAUGAAGAAGGAUGUCUGGAAGUCUGAGAAGAGAUGGAUAGUCGAUUCAACCAAGUAUGGUUCGAUGGCGCCUGAAGAAUGAGUGUCGAGGGGAAUGUGAUUGAAUUCAUGGAAGAUUACUAGCAGUCCACUCGAAGAGGCUCUUCGUUCUUCGAUUUAUCUUCCUGUAAGGAAGUCAACAUUACUGUAAGACAUUGAAGCUUACAGAAACUUCAUGAUUCAUACAUUCUAUAAUUAAGCAAAUAUUUCAACUUAUCUUCUUGAAAGUAAGACACAUUACUGUAAGAGCUUGCCAGCUGCAGCAAAUUGGUAGUAUAGCAAACGGAAACUUCAUGUUUAACACCGAAUGGCGAGAUUCGACAGAAUUAGGCAACCCUAUUAACAAUCAACAAUGAUUGAACUUGCACUUUGCAAUUUCCCAGUAACAAACAUUAAAAAACUGAUUCAUACAUUCUACAAUUAAGCAAAUAUGAAAUAUUUCAACUUAUCUUCCUGAAAGUAAGACACAUUACUGUAAGAGCUUGCCAGCUGCAGCAAUUAGGCAACCCUAUAAACAAUCAACAAUGAUUGAACUUGCAGUUUGCAAUUUCCCAGUAACAAACAUAAAAAAACUGAAAAUAAAAGCUCCCUAACACAACAAUCACUCAUAAAAUACUUAAACUACCAAAACCCCUAAACCCCACUUUUCUGAUGAAACAAGCUCUUCACUUUCUGAUUAAUUUUUUUUGAAAAUUAAGUUAAACACCCUUAUCCAUUUUUGGUCGAAAGAUCAAAGCUUGGGAGCCAAAAUGAUACCUAAACCCCAAUCCCAACUUUUCUGGUGAAACAAGAAGCUCUUCACUUUCCGAUUAAGUAUUCGAAAACUAAGUUAAACCCUUAUCCUUCUGUUCAAGAUUACAGCUUGGGAGCCUAAGUGAGUUCCCAGAUGAAACUCAAAACAAGGGUACGAAUGAAUUUUCCUUUCAAGUUGCACGGAAACCAAACAGCGCAGAAAUCAAAUGGGAAAAAGUGGGGAAAUGAUAAGAUCAGAAAGGAAAGCAAACCUGAGGAAACCGUCGGAGAAAGCGGUGGACUGAGAAUUCAGAACGCAGUUUGGUAAAAUGGAGAGAAUACCAGUGAAGAAAAAGGCUCCGGUUACGAACAUUCUAAUUGGGCUUUGGUUUGUCGGCGGGCCCAUAUCUUCAUAACAAUAAGUGGUCGGUUUGGCAAUAAUGAUUAGUGAGGUUCGAAUAUGGUUAUGGUAUAUGUCCAUUUUCAUCCAUUUUAUUACGUUAGUUGAUUAUUAACUCUAAUCAUUUUUAAUUUUAUGUUGGUGAUAUAAUUAGUUUCAUAAUCAUAUUUAUACGGUUAACGAUUAUAAAUGCUCAAAUUGAUUAUUCAUCGUUAUGAAACAAGUUCCUCGUUCGGGGAAGCCAACAUUAUUCAUAAUCAGUUCGGACCUGCAUUCUUCAUCACGGUGCGAGAACAAUUUGUAAUCAUAUAGAUUGCAAAGAAGAUUGCUCCAACAUAAUCGAUCCACUAGUAGAAUCUUUCACCAAGAGCAACAACAACGAGACCAGAUAUUGAUUACCACGUCAGUAACAACUUAUACUCAAAGCGAGAAUAAAUCUGUCCCCUCUCUAGCAACUGCACCCUUACUAUGUCUUCCCUUGGGAGAUUAGCUACUGAUCCAUCACCACUUCCAUUGCUAGCCCCAUGCCAUACUUGACUUGUUAGCGGUAGAAGGUGCGACAAUGCCUUGUUUUUACGAAAUACCGAGUGCCCGAUUGCUGUCAAGUAGAUUCUCCCAUCCCCGCUAAAUCCAACUAUUCCGAGAAUCUUGAUGAAUGCUGUCACUAGGUAGUCGAAGUUGACAUAUUGCCCCAUCUUGGAAGUGAUACUGGUGGAUUUCAGAAGCGCAAUCAGAGCAGAAGGAAGCUCGAACGAUAUAAUCAUCUGCUACCAAAUGCUUCAAAAAUUCAAUUUCUGUGACAGAUAUAAUUAUAAAGACAAAUAUAGCCAACGAAACUCAUUCACUCAUGCAUCUAAACUCUGAAGAUAUUAACACAGCUUCAUAUUGCGGCCAAAUGCCCCAAGAACAAGCUAAGCCUUAGCUACCAAAAUUUCAGCAUUACCGGAGGCCAUACUCUUGAUCAUUUCGAUUAAUCCCGGGAGGACUAAUCCAAACAAUCCGGUAUUCUGCUCAAGACUGUGCUCCGGCUUGUGUGUGCACUCCGUAACCUACGUGCACAAACGCCCUCUCCACUUCGGGAAGCUCUUCAAUCUUUAUUUGCAGUUACUGGCAUUUCCAAUGUCCCACUUACCACACUUUCCAGUGAGCUGACAUGUGAACCGAAACAAUGAAAUGAAAUAAUAUUUUCUCAACUGAAUUGGUUAACGGUCCUGCCAGUAGACUCACUCAUUCCAAUGAUUGGUUCGAGUUUAGGAUUAGCCUUGUCGUUGACUCGAGUUUAUCUUCAGCAGUAACGGACAUUCUCUGCAACUGAUCAAUGCUGCCGUGAAAAUGGAUGAAGUAACUGUCGACUGUUGAGUAACCUCUGCAUACACUAUGCACUUGCUGCAGGUUUCAACUGGGAUCAAAAAAGUAUCUAGUCUCUCAGCCCACACAAACCCAAGUUCAUUCUAACAGCCAAAGAUUACUAUUUUCAUAGCUAGCAGAGAAAGAUGACUUCCCAUCCAAAAAAACCGGUACAUGCGGAGCAAUUUCAAAAAGUUAUGGUCCAAUUUGGGUAACCCGGCAGGCUAUGCGGGCCCAAGAGGCAACCGGCCCGUAAUCCUUCCACUGACUGAAGAGGGAGGUGAUCGCUGCUCUGUGAAACCAGCCUCACGCAUUGCCCUCCUCUCUACGGACCAGGACGCCUCAGACUUCUCCGAGAUACCCAGGCCCAACUCCAGCCUUGGAACGGGCGAGCCAGAAAUCUGACCAACUAAGGCCCAACCAUUGAGGCAGACCCAAUGUUCCAUUACCUUAAUGCCUCCACUUGGAUCACAAGCUCGCGUUACCAAGCUCGGC
This 21263-nucleotide long non-coding RNA is filed under the name Linum usitatissimum (flax). RNAcentral describes it as "long non-coding RNA (LUSI_LNC005619)". Lineage: Eukaryota; Viridiplantae; Streptophyta; Magnoliopsida; Malpighiales; Linaceae. The record is from RNAcentral.